CCCUCGGGGAGGCGUGCGUUUGUCGAACAGGGCAACAGAGAUGGCAGGGUGCACAAGAGGACGGGAGUGACCGAUUGAAAAGAAAACAGACUCCGAGCAUGGAUCCGCACAGGGUCUGCCGUCAAUCAAACCUCACUUCCUUCUCCAAGACCCUCCUCUUAGUCUCAGCGUGGAAUCCUGUUGGAUUUGCUGCCACACACUCUUUCUACAGACCACGCUCACUAUGUAUUUAACAGUUCAAUAUUGUGCAAAACUGGCUAGCCAUGACUAUUUUUGUUUUAUAUUCAUGAUGUUAUUGGUUUAAUUUAUCCUUGAUUUGUUUGCACAAUCGGGGUGCUGGUCUUAUAAAUGUAUUUUUGCUCGGUUUAUUUUAGGAGAAUUUUAAGAGGUUUUAAGUAUCGAAGCAGGGCGUAGUGUUCGCGUGCGAGUGUAUAACUAUAUUUGUGUGUGAGGAUGUGUGCGUCUGCGUUUUAGUACAGGGUGUGUGUGCGUACGAGUGGGUGAGAUAGUGUGUGUAUCUAAAAGGGGGGUCUUUCUCUCUAUCAGUAUGCACCUUUUACAGAUUGUAUCUAUUUAUUUAUUUAUUUUCCCAGAAGAGAAAAAAAUGUGUGCGAGGGAGUGUGUGUGUGUGUGGUUACAUGUGUAUUCUAAAAAGCUGAUUUUAAGCCUAGACAGUAAAUUAAGGUAGCAUUAAAAGUAUGGUGUUGUGUGUGCGUGUGUGCGUGUGUGUGUGUGUGAUAAUGGGCCUCCUUAACACAGGGUUACCAUGGACAGGCAUGCUUCCAAAGCUUUGUGAUUUCUUUAGCACGGUUUUUGCUUUUUAGCCGAGCUGCAGAGUCAGAAGCCACUCUGUCUUGGAAAACUAGUCAUCGCUUUUUUCUUUAUUUUUCCUGUUAGGAAAAGGUAGUUAGGGUCUCCAACAAGGUCACAGUGAAGGAUGCAUUUACAAUGAUGAUGAUGAUGAGUUUCGGCAUUGCAGCUUGGCCAGAAGGUAAGAAGCCUUUUUGGCGAUUGCUGCUUAUCUUAUUCACAGUGGAGAGUUGCUCUGAAUGGUAGAAGCACCAAAUUCAUACUGCCACAGUGACGCCUUGUGAAUGAACCGGGUUAGAGAGGAGAAGGAGGGGUGUCGCCCUGAUCACGUGGCUGUAUUACACCCAUUCUGUCAUCGUUUUAAUGGAAGCUUAAACUCCAAACGUACUAUUAGGGCUGGUGUACAGAUGCUGCAAGACUUCUGAACCACAUCUCUUUGUCUGAGGCUCCUAUCAUGAAACAUUCUAAUUUAUUCGCUCUGUUAGAGAUAAACCAAUUUCCUGUCUGUGAUAUAAUUUUAAACUGGUGAAAUUAUAAUACAAGCAGGAAAUUUACCGAUCAUUGAUAAGAUAUGAUAGUUGUUUGGUUAACGUGAUAAAUUAUCUGAAAACCGCUGAGCUCAGAGGGAUGUUGCAUCUUGGAUGAUCUCCUGUGUGAUUUUUCUUUUUUCUUUUCUGUUUUCUAAUGACUUAUAGGUAGCAGCGUGACAUAUUUUUGAUUGAACUUUCUCUGGUUUAGUUUGUUCCUUGAUUACAGUUUGGAGAGAUAAAUUUACGACCAUAGUCAGGUAUGGUCAUCAAGCCUCAGUACAUUACACAGGGCACAGGUCUCACUUUGGUAUCUUCUCCAAAUAACAUUCCUGGCAUCGCAUCAUGAGCACCAAUUUAUAAUUAUCAUUCCUAUGUCAACAACUUUAUAGUGUUAAAAACUGAAAUAAUUCAAUUCAGCUCUUUGAGAUGGACUGAAAAUUUUGAUAAACUCAAUUGCUGCUACUGCUACAAUCCCAACGCAAAGUCAGCUAGACAUAACAGAGCUCACAUGUUAAUACAUUUCACUGUAUUUAAUUUGUUUUUGAAAACUGCAGAAAAAGAGAGUCAGUUUUCUAGAUAUACAGAUUCCAUUAAUGUCAUUGUUGACAAAACUUGGUAGCAAUCCCGAAGGUGCAUUCACACAGAACAGCAGCAGUUCAAAAUACAAGAGUUCACUUUAUGUUUGGAUUAGCGCAUUAAGAGCAGUUUUAAUCUUAUUAGAAAACUUCUGAUAUUUUGCAAGAGCCUUCACGAUUUCAAGACACAUUGUGUAAAUUACCUCUAAAAAUCUCACCUUAUAAGAUAUAGAAUGUCCACCCAGAGACACUGUCACACGUCAGCUUCUAGUCAUUAGUUUUCUCUUUAAUUUGCCAGCUCUUCUUAAUAGACGUUCAGCAGAGCAGGUGGCCAUUUUGUAACGGAGUUCUUGAACAUAAGCCACUCCCCCUUUCCACUGUGGGAGGGAUUUCAUUGCUUCUGAGGUUGCUAAGUGACACUGGCCCAACAUCAUUUGGUUUCCUCGGUUACCAUUUGUCUCCUUGGUGACGACUGCAUGGUCUCACGGUUGACACACCCUUUUAUUUUCUUCUUCUUCUGCUUCUCUUUCUGUUUUCUAAAGGAGAGUUCUUGAGGGUUUUUUUUCAUUCAUUUUAGAUUUUAGAAAGGGAAAGAAUACAAAUGAAAUAAAUCAGAAUAUUAAUUCAAUCACUUUUUCUACUCCUAUUUUCAAUAAAAAGUAAAACGAAAAACCAAACAAAAAGUUGAUUUGUAAAUAAGUAAUGUACAGUUUGUAUCUGUAACUUGUCAGUCUGUCAUUGGUGACAGAGUCUGUCUUGCUUAUAACGCACGCUACCAGUAAAUAAAAAAGGAAAAAGUAUAUUUAGACUGUAUGGUCCCUUGAAAGCAAGUUUUAAAUUAAUAUCUGAUGUAUAUUCCUGUAACAUUGCAUUUUUAUCUGAGGAAUGAUGUUAUUAAAAAAUUGCAAAUAAAUUGCAUUUCCUACA
Molecule: long non-coding RNA, 2842 nt
Organism: Amphiprion ocellaris (clown anemonefish)
Lineage: Eukaryota; Metazoa; Chordata; Actinopteri; Pomacentridae
Source: Ensembl